This 913-nucleotide ribosomal RNA is filed under the name uncultured Lacticaseibacillus sp. RNAcentral's name for it is "bacterial SSU rRNA". It matches the Rfam family "Bacterial small subunit ribosomal RNA", at positions 57 to 934 of the family's 1533-position model. The record is from RNAcentral. Lineage: Bacteria; Bacillati; Bacillota; Bacilli; Lactobacillales; Lactobacillaceae.
GCAGUCGACGAGUUCUCGUUGAUGAUCGGUGCUUGCACCGAGAUUCAACAUGGAACGAGUGGCGGACGGGUGAGUAACACGUGGGUAACCUGCCCUUAAGUGGGGGAUAACAUUUGGAAACAGAUGCUAAUACCGCAUAGAUCCAAGAACCGCAUGGUUCUUGGCUGAAAGAUGGCGUAAGCUAUCGCUUUUGGAUGGACCCGCGGCGUAUUAGCUAGUUGGUGAGGUAAUGGCUCACCAAGGCGAUGAUACGUAGCCGAACUGAGAGGUUGAUCGGCCACAUUGGGACUGAGACACGGCCCAAACUCCUACGGGAGGCAGCAGUAGGGAAUCUUCCACAAUGGACGCAAGUCUGAUGGAGCAACGCCGCGUGAGUGAAGAAGGCUUUCGGGUCGUAAAACUCUGUUGUUGGAGAAGAAUGGUCGGCAGAGUAACUGUUGUCGGCGUGACGGUAUCCAACCAGAAAGCCACGGCUAACUACGUGCCAGCAGCCGCGGUAAUACGUAGGUGGCAAGCGUUAUCCGGAUUUAUUGGGCGUAAAGCGAGCGCAGGCGGUUUUUUAAGUCUGAUGUGAAAGCCCUCGGCUUAACCGAGGAAGCGCAUCGGAAACUGGGAAACUUGAGUGCAGAAGAGGACAGUGGAACUCCAUGUGUAGCGGUGAAAUGCGUAGAUAUAUGGAAGAACACCAGUGGCGAAGGCGGCUGUCUGGUCUGUAACUGACGCUGAGGCUCGAAAGCAUGGGUAGCGAACAGGAUUAGAUACCCUGGUAGUCCAUGCCGUAAACGAUGAAUGCUAGGUGUUGGAAGGGUUUCCGCCCUUCAGUGCCGCAGCUAACGCAUUAAGCAUUCCGCCUGGGGAGUACGACCGCAAGGUUGAAACUCAAAGGAAUUGACGGGGGCCCGCACAAGCGGUG